GACGAACGCUGGCGGCGUGCUUAACACAUGCAAGUCGAACGGAAAGGCCCUGCUUUUGUGGGGUGCUCGAGUGGCGAACGGGUGAGUAACACGUGAGUAACCUGCCCUUGACUUUGGGAUAACUUCAGGAAACUGGGGCUAAUACCGGAUAGGAGCUCCUGCUGCAUGGUGGGGGUUGGAAAGUUUCGGCGGUUGGGGAUGGACUCGCGGCUUAUCAGCUUGUUGGUGGGGUAGUGGCUUACCAAGGCUUUGACGGGUAGCCGGCCUGAGAGGGUGACCGGCCACAUGGGGACUGAGAUACGGCCCAGACUCCUACGGGAGGCAGCAGUGGUGAAUAUUGCACAAUGGGCGGAAGCCUGAUGCAGCAACGCCGCGUGCGGGAUGACGGCCUUCGGGUUGUAAACCGCUUUCGCCUGUGACGAAGCGUGAGUGACGGUAAUGGGUAAAGAAGCACCGGCUAACUACGUG
RNAcentral lists this ribosomal RNA (468 nucleotides) under uncultured bacterium. RNAcentral describes it as "partial 16S ribosomal RNA". It matches the Rfam family "Bacterial small subunit ribosomal RNA", at positions 28 to 507 of the family's 1533-position model. The record is from RNAcentral.